UACAGGGGGUGCAAACGUUGCUCGGAAUUAUUGGGCGUAAAGCGCGCGUAGGCGGCCGCUUAAGUCGGAUGUGAAAGCCCCUGGCUCAACUGGGGAAGUGCACCCGAAACUGAGUGGCUUGAGUACUAAAGAGGGUCGCGGAAUUCCCGGUGUAGAGGUGAAAUUCGUAGAUAUCGGGAGGAACACCGGUGGCGAAGGCGGCUUGCUGGGCCUUACCUGACGCUGAGGAGCGAAAGCGUGGGGAGCGAACAGG
This 253-nucleotide ribosomal RNA is filed under the name uncultured bacterium. RNAcentral describes it as "partial 16S ribosomal RNA". It matches the Rfam family "Bacterial small subunit ribosomal RNA", at positions 524 to 776 of the family's 1533-position model. The record is from RNAcentral.